GGGAUAGUAGUUUAAUGGCUAGGGCACCAGCCUUCCAAGCUGGGGACGGGGGUUCGAUUCCCCUCUAUCCCUCCA
RNAcentral lists this transfer RNA (75 nucleotides) under Caudoviricetes sp. RNAcentral's name for it is "tRNA-Gly". It matches the Rfam family "tRNA". Rfam says of the family: Transfer RNA (tRNA) molecules are approximately 80 nucleotides in length. The record is from RNAcentral. Lineage: Duplodnaviria; Heunggongvirae; Uroviricota; Caudoviricetes.